CGUAGGGUGCAGGCGUUAAUCGGAAUUACUGGGCGUAAAGCGUGCGCAGGCGGUCUCUUAAGACAGGUGUGAAAUCCCCGGGCUUAACCUGGGAACUGCGCUUGUAACUGAGAGGCUUGAGUGUGCCAGAGGGGGGUGGAAUUCCACGUGUAGCAGUGAAAUGCGUAGAGAUGUGGAGGAACACCGAUGGCGAAGGCAGCCCCCUGGGGUAACACUGACGCUCAUGCACGAAAGCGUGGGUAGCAAACAGGAUUAGAUACCCUGGUAGUCCACGCCCUAAACGAUGUCAACUAGGUGUUGGGAGGGUAAAACCUUUUAGUACCGGAGCUAACGCGUGAAGUUGACCGCCUGGGGAGUACGGCCGCAAGGUUA
RNAcentral lists this ribosomal RNA (372 nucleotides) under uncultured organism. RNAcentral's name for it is "bacterial SSU rRNA". It matches the Rfam family "Bacterial small subunit ribosomal RNA", at positions 526 to 896 of the family's 1533-position model. The record is from RNAcentral.